RNAcentral lists this transfer RNA (76 nucleotides) under Ovis aries (sheep). It matches the Rfam family "tRNA". From Rfam's summary of the family: Transfer RNA (tRNA) molecules are approximately 80 nucleotides in length. The record is from Rfam by way of RNAcentral. Lineage: Eukaryota; Metazoa; Chordata; Mammalia; Artiodactyla; Bovidae.
UCCCUGGUGGCUCAGACAGUAAAAAAGCAUCUGUCUACAAUGCAGGUAGACCUAGGUUCGAUCCCUGGGUUGGGAA